This is a long non-coding RNA of Cololabis saira (Pacific saury), 790 nucleotides long. RefSeq lists it as uncharacterized. Lineage: Eukaryota; Metazoa; Chordata; Actinopteri; Beloniformes; Belonidae. The record is from RefSeq and is a predicted model, not a curated record. The transcript has 2 exons.
CGCUCCGUCAUCUGGAUCCUGCUGUUCAUCUGUCUUUCCUUUCCUUGUCAACAUGCUUAUUUUCUUUCUUUUUGGUGUGGGCCCCAACUCCUGACACCACUUGUGAGAGGCGACCCGUGAGCGGCUGGAUGAUGUUGAACAAAGUUGACGAGAUGGUCAGGUUUCCCCAGAUUCACAUUUUUUUUAUUCACUCCAAUGAUGACAGUAACAGACAAGUAGCUUAGUACCAUAGGUUCGAUCAGUCCACCAGUCAGAUGUAAAAUGGUGCCUUUUAUACUGUGCUCCCAAUCACCUACACUAGACUCUUCCACUACAGAGGUAAACUUAAAAUAUUGUCCAAUGGCUACUUUACCAAGUGACACUUUCCCCUUUACCUUUAGCUUCUAAGCUCCACUACUUCUCUGUUACUGAUUUACUUCAGCCAAUACCUAUAAAAUAUAUUUACAAUAAAUAAGAAAAAACAUUAACACUUUAAGAAUUCCCCCCCUUUCCUAUCCGGCCACUUGGUCUCUCCCGGAACCUUUAUCACCGUGCCCAUGCACCCGGGGGAAUCUUUUGGACGCGCACCCUGGAGCAGACACAGGACCAGACAGGCGGAGCCGAGUGCCGAGUGCCGCCCCUGGCCGAAGGCAUGCAAUCACCUAAUAAAUAACUUCAAUAAAAUAUACAAUAAAUAGAGCAAGUUCAAUAUCUGUAUCUUCAAUUAAUUAUCUUCAAUAAACUGUGCAAAUACGCAAUGUGCAAAUUGUACUGUGCAAGCCUUGGUAAAUAAAGUGCUAUCGUGACUAAA